AGUUGGGAAUCUUGGACAAUGGGGGAAACCCUGAUCCAGCCAUGCCGCGUGAGUGAUGAAGGCCUUCGGGUUGUAAAACUCUUUCGACGGGGACGAUAAUGACGGUACCCGUAGAAGAAGCUCCGGCUAACUUCGUGCCAGCAGCCGCGGUAAUACGAAGGGGGCUAGCGUUGUUCGGAAUUACUGGGCGUAAAGCGCGCGCAGGCGGCUAUCCAAGUCAGUGGUGAAAGCCCGGAGCUCAACUCCGGAACUGCCAUUGAAACUGUUUAGCUUGAGGACGAGAGAGGUGAGUGGAAUUCCCAGUGUAGAGGUGAAAUUCGUAGAUAUUGGGAAGAACACCGGUGGCGAAGGCGGCUCACUGGCUCGUAUCUGACGCUCAGGCGCGAUAGCGUGGGGAUCAAA
RNAcentral lists this ribosomal RNA (402 nucleotides) under uncultured Rhizomicrobium sp. RNAcentral describes it as "bacterial SSU rRNA". It matches the Rfam family "Bacterial small subunit ribosomal RNA", at positions 353 to 772 of the family's 1533-position model. Lineage: Bacteria; Pseudomonadati; Pseudomonadota; Alphaproteobacteria; Micropepsales; Micropepsaceae. The record is from RNAcentral.